Molecule: ribosomal RNA, 497 nt
Filed under: uncultured bacterium
Lineage: Bacteria
Description: partial 16S ribosomal RNA
Rfam family: Bacterial small subunit ribosomal RNA
Source: RNAcentral
GAUGAACGCUGGCGGCGUGCCUAAUACAUGCGAGUCGAGCGAACAGAUGAGGAGCUUGCUCCUCUGACGUUAGCGGCGGACGGGUGAGUAACACGUGGAUAACCUACCUAUAAGACUGGGAUAACUUCGGGAAACCGGAGCUAAUACCGGAUAAUAUAUUGAACCGCAUGGUUCAAUAGCGAAAGACGGUUUUGCUGUCACUUAUAGAUGGAUCCGCGCCGCAUUAGCUAGUUGGUAAGGUAACGGCUUACCAAGGCAACGAUGCGUACCCGACGUGAGAGGAUGAUCGGCCAAACUGGAACAAAGACACGGUCCAGACUCCUACGGGAGGCAGCAGUAGGGAAUCUUCCGCAAUGGGCGAAAGCCUGACGGAGCAACGCCGCGUCAGUGAUGAAGGUCUUCGGAUCGUAAAACUCUGUUAUUAGGGAAGAACAAAUGUGUAAGUAACUAUGCACGUCUUGACGGUACCUAAUCAGAAAGCCACGGCUAACUACGUG